ACAUUUGCCACAUAUUCAUGAAAUAAGACUCUUACUUCUUUUUUGUCUUCAAAAGUGGCACUAAAUCACAAUGAAGGAAGGGUAAUCUCAGGACUUUGAGCUCCUUAAGGGGCUGGCUCUUUUCUGUAUCCCCAACACUAUGGUAACUUUAUUUGAAUGAAUGAAUGAUUUAUUACCUGUAUCAGUCCAUUCUUGCAUUGCCAUAAAGAAAUACCUGAGACUGGGUUAUUUAUUUAUUUAUUUAUUUUUAUUUUUAUUUAUUUUAUUUUUUUUUUUUUGAGACGGAGUCUCGCUCUGUCACCCAGGCUGGAGUGCAGUGGCGCAAUCUCGGCUCACUGCAAGCUCCGCCUGCCGGGUUCACGCCAUUCUCCUGCCUCAGCCUCUCCGAGUAGCUGGGACUACAGGCGCCCGCCACCACGCCCGGCUAAUUUUUUGUAUUUUUAGUAGAGACGGGGUUUCACCGUGUUAGCCAGGAUGGUCUUGAUCUCCUGACCUCGUGAUCCACCUGCCUCGGCCUCCCAAAGUGCUGGGAUUACAAGCGUGAGCCACCGCGCCCGGCCGAGACUGGGUAAUUUAUAAGAAAAGAGGUUUAAUUGGCUCAUGGCUCUGCAGGCUGUACAGGAAGCAUGGCGGCAUCUGCUUCUGGGGAGGCCUCAAGGGACUUUUACUCAUGGUGGAAGGCAAAGUAGGAGCAGGUAUGGAUUAGUGGAGAGAAACCAUGGAGAAAUAGUAAGAGUAAGGGAGGGGAUAAAUACUUAGUGACUUGCAUUUUGGUGGUGACCAAGACUAAUAGGCAUCCCAAUCUAUAUAAAAAUAUCUUGAUAAUAUCUUGACAUUGAAGGUUUUAAUGGAAGGUGGAACAGAAACUACAUGAGUUUCUCUGGAUGACGAGUGGAGAUUGAGUAUAAGGAAGUGCUUCUUGAACCUAAGUAUAACUUAGAAUCUCCUGAAGAACUUUUAUAAAAUUCAGGUAUCCUGGCCUCAUUCCCAACCAAUUAAAUCAGAACCAGUGGGAACAGACCUGAGCACUGGUAAUUUUUGGCAGUUGUAUUCUCUUUAAAAUCCCCAGGUGCAGUCAGUACUGAGAAAUAUCGGUAUAUGGCAGUGAUUCUCAGAGUUGAUCCCCAGACUAGUAGUGUCACUAUGACUUGGGGACUUGUUAGAGAGCACAUUAUCAAGCCUUGCCCCAGAUUUACUGAAUCAGAAACUCUGGAGGUGGAGCCCAGCAAUCCCUGUUUUAACAAACUCUCUGGGUGAUUACGAUAAAUGUUAAAGUUUGAGAACCACUGGUAUAUGGUGGGGGUGGGAGCAUAGGGGGAGUAGCUACACUGUAUCUAUAAGUACCCUUCAUGGUCAGCAGAAGUUUCGUUCCCAUCAGCAUUUUAUGAGAAUUCUUACUGCGUCUCACCAAAUUCUUUUUACAUACGAUUUAUAGCAGAAUUAGAGGCAUAAAAAACAGGGGGAAAAAUAAACAACAUUAUCUUACUUAAAACUGAACAUUUUUCAUGUUUGUAAUUAACACAAAACUGGCGUGCUACAGUUCAAAUUGAUUUCCUUGAUUUUAACCUGAAAUGAAAAUGGAGAUCAGCCAGUUACCAUUCUGCGGAGAGACAAACACACUGAACAAUUGCAAAAAGGGUAACAAAUAGUUCAUCCAGCCUGCUUUUAGAAAAAUCACAGAAUAAAGGUAGUGUUUCAGUUACCAACUUUCAACCCAGUAAUAGGAACAUAUGCAAUAUUUGAUCAUAGUCUCUAUUUUUAUUUUUAAAGAGGAAAGAAAACAGAAACAAAAUUUAAAAAAGAAAGAGAACCACCCUAAAAAAAAAAGUUGAGAAAAAGGAAACUAAUAAGAGGAAAUUCCUCAAACUAAGCAAGUUUAAAUAUUGGCAGUAUGUGGAGUGAAACACACACAGAAAUGUGUAUACUUCCUGAAAAUGUUAGCUGUUAAAUGAAAGGAAUCAUGUUUCUGUAGUUUCUUAAAUAGGACUUGGCAUAUUCAAGGUGGUCCAUAAGUUUUAAAUAAUAACAAUUUGCUCUCCAAUCUGGCCUCGUUUAGCUUCCUUUUUCACUGUAACAUCUUGACAUUCUUCCAGUGCUUAGUUUGCAGAAUUCACUGCAAAAAAAAAAAAAAAAAGAAAGAAAGAAAAGAAAAGGCUAAGAAUAAACAUAUGUAAGAAAAACAAAAAGCAAAAUAAAAGAGCAGCUUCUUCAAGCUUGGGCUCAACUAACAGAUAAAUCAUUUAUACUUAAAAAAAAAGUCUUCUCACUUCAACAUACAAACCAUUAAUCCAGAUCUCCAUUAUUGCUUACUUAGACUGGUAACAGAGUUUCCUUCCUCCUUUUAUUGCGCUCUGCUGAAAGAUUAAUCCUCUCACAGCAAAACUCAAAAGCUUUCAGUAACCUAUCCCCCACUGCUGGCCCCUGAAGUACAGGCAAGAUCAGGCACAGGCCACAGAUGCUCUGGGGAAUCAGCUCUAGGAAAAAACUGUGAGAAACCCCUGGAGAUGGCCUAAAGGCCAUCACAAACUUUGGGUGGGGAGGAAUGCAGAGUUAGAAUAAUAGAUAGAGUGCUGCUAGGUUCUGCUCUCCUUCUCUCUCCUCUUUCCUUUGGACCAUUGCCUGUCCCAUAACCACUGUGAGUCAGGAGGCAGCAGCAAUCACCCACGCUAAAAAGGGGAGGCUGACCAGCUUCCCUGAGCACUCACUCCUCCAGUCCUCCUCAUGUGUGGUAAAUGAUGCAUCACUUAUGAGAUGACUACCAGCUCCCCUUCAAAGGCUUUAGAGGAGAAUCCCCAGCAGAGUAAUGCCUAGUGGAGGGGCAACAGAUGGGUUGUUGACUAUAGUUCCAACACCUAAGGGACUCCCUGGGACUCAACUCCUUAAUCUUAAAACCAUAAGGAAGACAGAAAGUAGGACCCAGUAUUGGUAUGUCACAUUGGUACCUGAUAACUCCAGGGGAACAUCAGCUCACAGCUUAAAAUUCCUGAGGUUAGAACCACUGUAAAAAGAAAAAUACACACUGAACAUACACGAUAUCAAGCAGAAAUACUGGAACAAACAAAUUAAGAAUUUAAAGUAAGCACAACCACGCUGGGCAUGAUGGCUCACGCCUAUAAUUCCAGCACUUUGGGAGGUGGAGGUGGGCAGAUCACUUGAGGUCAGGAGUUCAAGACCACUCAGGCCAACAUGGUGAAACUGUCUCUACGAAAAAUACAAAAAAUCGUUGGGCAUGGUGGUGGGCACCUGUAAUCCCAGCUACUCGGGAGGCUGAGGCAGGAGAAUCGCUUGAACCUGGGAGGUGGAGUUUGCAGCGAGCUGAGAUUGCACCACUGUACUCUAGCCUGGGUGACAGAGUGAGACUGUCUCAAAAAACUGAAACAAAUAAGCACAACCAAUAUUGUCAAAAAGCUACUGGUAAUAGGAAGUGGGAAAAAAGUCAUAAAGACAGACAGACAUUAUACAUAACGUAUAAAAAAUUAUGCUUCCAAGUAAGACUCCUAGAUGGGAUAAAUAGCAAGCUGAAUGCAGCCAAAGGAAAAAUUGUAAAACUGAAAGAGCAGACUGAGGACAUCUUUCAGAAGGCAGAAAAAAGGAUAAAGAGAGACAUACAGAAAUAAAAAUUUAAAUGUCAUCGAGGAUAAAAGUAGACAUGCUGACAUCCUGAAAACAGGAGUCCAAAGGAAGACAAAAUAAAGGGAGGACAAAUAUUUAAGAGAACAAUAAAAACAAUUAUCUCUAAAUUAAAGAUAAAAGAAGUCAGAUGGAAAAGGUUGCAUGCCAAAUAGGAGAGAUUAAGAACCUAGAAAGAUUAUUGCACAUUUAAGAACAAAGAGAAAGAGAAAAUACUAAAAGCUUCCAGGAAAAAAAGAGCAUAUCUCCUCCAAAGAUACAAGAAGAUUUGGCAGCAGAUUUCUUAACAGCAACACUGGGGGCCAAAUAUUUGGGGAUUUUCCAGAUAUCAUUCUGUUACCGAUUUCUAAUGUAAUAACAUUGCGGUCCGAAAACACACUUUAUAUGACUUAAACACUUUUAAAGUUAUUGAGACAUUUUAUGGUGCACAAUGUGGUUUAUCUUGAACAGACACUUUACCAAAGAAGGUAGACGGAUGGGAAAUAAGCACAUGAAAGACAGACUACACCAAUAGUCAUUAGGGAAAUAGAAAUUAAAACCGUAAUAAAAUACCACCACACACUAACCAUACCAACUGUUGCCAAAGCUUUAAAGGAACUAGAACUCUAACAUGCUGUUAGUUGGAAUGUAAAAUGACUCAACCACUUAUAUAGUUCAAAUCUCAUGCUGAAAUGUGAUCCCCAAUGUUGGAGGUGGGGCCUAGUGGGAGGUAUUUUGAUCAUGGGGCGGAUACCUCAUGAAUGGUUUAGCACCAUCCCCUUGGUGAUGAGUGAGUUCUUUAUUAGUUUGUGUAAGAGCUGGUUGUUUAAAGGAGCCUGGCAUCUCUCUUGCUACUGCUUUCACCAUGUGACACACCUGUUCCCCCUACACCUCAUGAGUAACAGCUUCCUGAGGCCUCAUCAAAAGCUGAGCAGAUGCAAAGUGCCAUGCUUGUACAGCCUGCAGAACUGUGAGUCGAAUAAACCUCCUUUCUGCAUAAAUUACCCAGCUUCAAGCAAAGCAAACAGAUUAAUAUGACUACUUUGGAAAUAGUUUGGCAGUUUCCCAAAAAGGUAAAUAUACAGGCCAGGGGCAAUGGCUCAUAUUUGUAAUCCCAGCACUUUGGGAGGCCGAGGUGGGCAGAUCACAUGAGGACAGGAGUUUAAGACCAGCCUGGUCAACAUGGCGAAACCCCAUCGCUACUAAAAAUAAAAAAAUUAGCUGGUGGCACAGGCCUGUAAUCCCAGCUACUCAGGUGGCUGAGGCAUGAGAAUCACUUGAACCUGGGAGGUGAAGGUUGCAGUGAGCCGAGAUCAUGCCACUGUACUCCAGCCUCAGCAACAGAGCAAGACCCUGUCUCCAAAUAAAUAAAUAAGUGAAAUAUACACCCUCCAUAUGAUCCAGCAUUCGACUCCAAAGAAUUACCUCAGGAGAAAAAAAAGCAUAUGUUCACAAAUGACUUGUACAUAAACGUUCAUAGCAAAUUUAUUUGUAAUAGUCCAAACUGGAAAUAAUCCAAAUGUCUAUUACUCGGCGAAUGGAUAAACAAAUUUUAGCACAUUUAUAUAAUGAAAUACUAUUAGCAAUAAAAAGAAUAAACUAUUGAUCCAUGCAACAACAUAAGUGAACAUCAAAAUAAUUAUGCUAUAUAGAUAAAAGAGAGUACAUACUGUUUUAACCAUUUAUAAAAAAUUCUAGAAAAUGCAACUAAUCUAUAGUGAUAGAAAGAAGGUGGGUGGUUGCCUGGGAACAGGGGAAACAGGCAGGCAGGCGUGGGUGAGCAGGGUUACAAAGGAACACAAGGAAGUUUGGCGGUGGCGGGAGGGGGAAGGUAGAGAUAAGUGUGCUGAUUAUCUUGAUUAGGGUGAUGGUUUCAAGAGUAUAUACCUAUGUUAGAACUUUCCAAAACAUACAUUCUAAAUAUUUGCAGUUUAUUGUAUGUCAGUUAUACCUUAAUAAAGCUGUUUUUUAACAAAAAACAUAAUAAAUGAAAAAUAAAAUUUUUAUCUGAUAAAGACAUAUGAAAUUAAGAUGCUGUUUUUAUUUUCAAAAACGAACAAAGAGAGAGAAAAAUAUAUUUAUAGCGUAAUAAUCCAGGACUAAAAUUCUAAAUAAUAUCAACACAGUAGUGGAGAGGAGGAGACAAAAAGACAUGAGUUGGUUGCAUCAGGAUGAGUCUAUUCAGGAGGCAGAAACAGAGUUAGCCGGGUUCUAAAGAACUGAAAGUCUAAAAGGGAACCAUUACUAUCACACCAACCCUAUUCUCCCCAGUAGUAGCAGUAUUGUUCCAAUAGCAACAGUUGGUUCCAGUUUGCAGUAAUUCCAAUGUUCCCAGAACCAGCCUCAACAUACCCGAAGAAGUCAUAGUUCCAACUCUUUGGGGCAACUCACCAAAUUUAUAGAUUUUUUUUUUUUUUUUGAGACAGGGUCUCACUCUGUUGCCUAGGCUGGAGUGCAGUAGUGCAAUCACAGUUCACUGCAGCUUCAACCUCUGGGGCUCAAGCAGUCCUCCCACCUCAGCCUCCCAGGUAGCUGGAACUACAGGUGCGAGCCACUACGCCCAGCUGAUUAUUUGUAUUUUUUGUAGAGACGGGUUCUCCCUGUAUUGCCCAGGCUGGUCUUGAGCUACUGAACUGAAGUGUUCACCUGCCUCAGUCUCCCAAAGUGCUAAGAUUACAGGCAUGAGCCACCAUGCCCAGCCCAAAUUUAUAAAUUUUAAUAAUUGUAACAUCCUCUUAGAUCUGUGACCUUAAGCAACUCAUGCAACCUCUCUGAUUUUCUCUGUUGAGUUUCCUAACAUCAAAAUGGAGUGACAGCUAUUGUGGUUGCCGUUGUUAUUACUGACCGCCCUGCCUCAUCCUUAUUUUAUCUUUUCUUUUUUUUUUUUUUUUUUUUUUUUUGAGAAGGAGUCUUGCUCUGUCGCCCAGGCUGGAGUGCAGUGGCGCAAUCUCGGCUCACUGCAAGCUCCGCCUCCCGGGUUCACGCCAUUCUCCUGCCUCAGCCUCUCCAAGUAGCUGGGACUACAGGCGCCCGCCACCACGCCCGGCUAAUUUUUUGUCUUUUUCAGUAGAGACGGGGUUUCACCGUGGUCUCGAUCUCCUGACCUCGUGAUCCGCCCGCCUCGGCCUCCCAAAGUGCUGGGAUUACAAGCGUGAGCCACCGCGCCCGGCCGCCUCAUCCUUAUUUUAAAUGACGUGAUGCCUUUUGGGUAGAAGGGGGCUGUUGCAGUUUUCCUGUUGAAAGGGGAGUGAGUUGCAACUGCCCUGUGAUUCCAUGGAGACUUGUGUGUGUGUGGAAGGCUGGAGAAACAAAGGUUGCAGUAAGUUUGUGACAGAAGCUUCCCUGAGACACCUGGAGACCCUUUGGCUUUGAGCAGAGCUGCUCCUGGACCAAGGAGAGCAAGCCUUGGGGACUAAACUGAAGUCGCCGAGAACCCGACUACUAAACCGUGCUGAGCGGACAGCCUCUGGGGACUGCACGCAGGCAGACGCUGGGAUGUCUCAGGUGGAUGAAAUCAAGGCUUGCGGCUGACAACAUAUAAAUCAUGCCAUAUGAUGCCAAUUCUAAAAUGCCAUUAAUUCUCCUCCAUUAACCCCUGCAGAGUAUUCACUGACUGCUGGAACUAGAGCAUCACUGAGAAGCAAGAGAUGGACUGACCUAACUAGAGGGAGAGCUGCCGUCCAGGAUGAUGCCACCAUCGCAGGAGCAAUGUGAGGAAAGUGGAAUGAACUUGGACUUUGAAGGCAAACUAACCUGGAAUCAAAUGCUGGUUCUGCUGUUUGCAAGUGUGAUCUUUGGGUGUGCUUCCUAAUCUGUGAGCUUCAACUUCCUCCUCUGUAAACCAAGAUCAAAGACAAACAGAGCAACCUACUUGUCUGGUACCCAUCCCCUUGGCAGAACACUCCUCUGAAGGAUGACAGUUUGGCUGUGCCAGGGAAGAGCUGCCCACACCAAAUGAGCCUUCAUAGCAACUAUCUGAUGAGGAACUCACUGGCCUACCUUUCCUUGACAGCUGGGGCCUGCCAGCCUUGAAGCACGACUCCACAACGCCACUACCCAAGGUCAUGGAGGUUGCUGCUGAUGAGCAAGCUGUUUUAUAUUUAAUCCAGGCUUCUGCUUGGAGAGGAAGAAGGUAGAGGAGCCAGCGAAGGUUUGUCUGAAUGAUACUUAAAGAAAAAACACUGGUAGCAGUCACAAAACUUUAAAAAUUAAAGUGCCAACGAGGUGGCUUUUGGUGGCCAGAUGAAAGCUGUUAACCCCAGCUUUUACAAAUGCUGGGCUUUUGAGUAAGAGGAGAUUGAGACCUCUUACCAUUGUAGCAGCAAAAGCAUCCACGGCUAGUGUUUUCCAAGCUCACUGCUACUUGCAGUCUAGCAAUGUUGUGUCUCCUGAAAUUCCUACCUUUCCUUGAUGGUUGUAAAAGAAGUACCAAUUUAUUAAGCUCCUAAUAUGUGCCAGAUGCUCCAUAUAUGUUACUUUUGAUCUUCACAACCACUCAGCAACUUACUGCUUCUCCUCACUACCAAUUACAUCGAUGAUGAAAUUGAAGCAGAGUUGUUUGCCUAGGAUUACAGAGCUAGGAGGGACCAGAGUUGGGAUUCUCCCUCAGUUCUAAUACACAGUAUGCCACAUUUCCUGUCGAGUAGUAACAAAGCUUCUAAGAAAUCUGAGUUUUCAUUUGUUAAAUGAAUUUUUAAGAAAUGAAAAUUUUAAGAAUUUUUAAGAAAUGUAGACAGGAGCACUAAGUGCUCAAUAGUUUAAUGUUAAUAAUGGUACAAGUAUAUAACCAGUUUCUCAUGCACUGGCAUAACAUUCUUCAGAGGGUACACCAGGGCUGGAUGAGUAUGUGAACCCAAAAAUAUCUGAGACAGGUCUCAGUUAACUUAGAAAGUUUAUUUUGCCAAGUUUGAGGACAUGCACCCAUGACACAGCCUCAGUUGGUCCUGACAACAUGUGCCCAAGGUGGUUAGGGCAAAGCUUGUUUUUAUACACUUUAGAGGGAAAGGAGAUAUCAAUCAAUAUAUGUAAGAUGUACAUUGGUUAUCUCCAGAAAGACAGGACAACUUAAGCAGGGAGGGGGCUUCCAGGUCAUAUGUAGGUGAGAGAUAAAUGGUUGCAUUCCUUUGAGUUUCUGACUAGCCUUUCCAAAGGAGGCAAUCAAAUAUGCGUUUAUCUCAGUGAGCAGAGGGGUGACUUUGAAUAGAAUGGGAGGCAGGUUUGCCCUAAACAGUUCCCAGCUUGACUUUUCCCUUUAGCUUAGUGAUGUUGGGGCCCCAAGAUUUAUUUUCCUUUCACACUUCUUCAAUUUUCUUUUUAAAAAUCUUUUGAAGAAAGCAUUUUAGAAGAAAAUGAGUCUGUGCUCUCAGGGCUAGGAUAGUUUAUUCCUACAGGGGUAGGUCCCAAGUUAUUAGGAAAGUUCAUUUUUAGCAGGUUGAGAAGUCUCAUGUCCUGUGAAGAGAAAAUAGUAGGAUGAAGGGAGAAAAACAACAAACAAGAGAACAAUCCUUGAAAAUCUAUAUGGACCACAUUACUUUGAAGUCCAUACAUCCGUAGGUAGGUAUGAAAGUGGCUUAUGUAUCUAAAUAGAUUGCUUUUAUUUUCUUCUGAAGUUUAAGUUGUCUAGAUUCAGUUUGCAGGACUUUAGAAAGUACAGCUUAGUUUUCAACUAUUUCAAAUUAGGAAAAAUGGGGUGAGGGGAAGGAAAUGAAGGAAAAAAAUUGAAAACAUUAUUUUGGAGACUUGUAGCCAGGAAAAAUAAGAAUUCAGUCUAAACUGUAGAAAAUAAUAAAAAUAGAAAAACAUUAGGCAAGACUAAAAUCUAACAACAGGUGUACUAUAGUUUUUGAAACAUAUUUUUUCUCUCUCUAGUUUCCCAUUUUUACUAAAGAUAAAUCAUAGAAGAACCAAUUUGCUUUAUUAUACUUGGCCAGAUUAUUUGUAUGAAGUGAAGCAAGAAUAAUUAUUUUUCACAUAGGCUUUUAAAAUUAGCUUUGAUGGACUUCUUCCAUAGAAGCAAUCUCAGAUAAGGCUUUUUUAAAGCCAAGCCCAGCCACGGAUUUGUACCAUCAAAUACCUAUGAGUUGGGUGAAUUAUUCUCCUUUUGAGUCCCAACAUAAUUUAGGGCUCUUGGGCCUGUCAGAAAGUGACAUUCUUUACUUACCACAGGUCAGGAACACUGUUCAGGGACUGUGCAGACAAGGUAUGAGGCCAGUUUCCCCAAGAAUUUUUUAUUGGCUCUAUAAGUCAAGUUUAAUACCUUAAAGGAAAGCACACCAUUCCAGCCAAAGACUGUAAAAUAACCAGUUUCUCCAAUUGUGUCCUGUUACAAAUAAAAACAGAUUCUUAUUUCACUUAUGCAAAUAACCAUAUUGCCAUAAAUCACGAAUACUUACAAAUAGUUUCCAAAUUCUGGAGAAAUCAGGUAGAGAGAAACAAGCUCCAAAUUUUGUUCAUAGGAGUAUACUUGUUAAAAGCUGUCAAUAGCUCAAAAAAAAAGUUUCCUUGACUCUGAAAAACAAAACAAAGGAUCAGCAACGUUUUGUGCAAAAAGUCAAAAAGAUUACUUCAGUCUUCUAUUGGUUCAGUCCAUGCAGUUAAUUUCUGUUCUGCUUGAUAUUUGUGAACAUUUCAGCUCUCCAUGAGUCCUGAAAGUUUUUCCUCUUUUCUAAUGUCACAAUCUCCAAAGUUAUCAGAAAACUGCAUUCAAGGACACGUGUUAAGAGUUUUAUAGCUGAUUAUAAAACUACCUUCAAAAGAGGAACAAAACAAGACAACAAUUGUCCAUGGAUGACAAAAAGUUUUAGGGCAGCCACAGUCAAAGACACCAUUGACAAGAAAAUUUGUUACCUCUGUGGCAUACAAUAAUUUAACAUAACAAUUAUAAUUACUGAUAACAUACACUAAGUCAUGUCAGAAUUUUAGGAGUUUCCUAUUAUUUUGGAACAGAUACCAAUAACACACUUAUACAAAUACAGCCCAAAGAAAACUAAAUACCAUUUCAUAUUUCACAAUGCUUCCUGUAUAAUUUUUAUACCAAAUAAGCCAAAUAUGUCAUUUUUGGACUUUAGGGAACAUAAUAUCUUAAAGGAUUAAUUAGGUCAGAAAAAGACAUAAUUUAUAAUUUGAUUUUGGAAAGUUUGUCAAAUAUCAAAGAUUGAAAACACUUGAUAUCACAAAAUAAGAUCGCAGGUCAUUGUAAAAAGUCAUUUAUUUAACCAAAGUGAUAACUCAAGGAUUAAAAAAAAAAAAAAGGCAAAAACUUUCAUUAUUUUAGAGAGGAGAUUUAAUUUCCCAAACAAGCCCUAAUAAAAACAGCAUGAAGCCAAUUAAAUUUGCUUUCCAAAAUUUUAUACACAAUCUAUAAAAUUUUAAUCCUGACCAUAAGAUAUAACUUCAAUAAGCCCUUUAUAACCUUUAUAACCUUUAUUAAGGAGUCGGUCAAUGUUUCCAGAAAACCUUGUUAAUCCUACACAGGGUACCAUAUGAUGGUCUUGCAUCAGUAUGCCUUUGACAUUAACAGUUAAUUUAUAGAGAAACUGAACUUAUUUUCUCUAUCAAAAUCAGUCCUUACAAUCUUAAACACACACCUCUUCCACAAAACAGUCCCUGGGCCUUGAGGAGUUGAGUAGCUUUAAUUUCUGGCCUUGUGUUUUAGGAAUGCAGUUUAUUUUGAUUGACAUCUUCUACCAGGCCUGAAGAUGAGGCUUUAAUUACUGUCAGUGUUUAAGAUUUAGCAAGACUUGGUGUCCUUUUUAGACCCAGGAGUCAAAGCCCUGUAACUCAAUGUCACAAGUACUUUAAAAGCACAUACAGAAAGAUACACGGAUGUAAUAUCUUUAAUUUUUAAAAAAUUUUCUUUUAAUCUCAGUUUUUUUCUAAACAAACCAAAACUUAAUAAUAAUGGCAUAGGAAUUAUUUCAAUAAAAUGUAAAAUCUGUUAGUCAGUUACCAAAAAGCAAAACAAAAGACCUUCUGCAGUGCACAAAAUAUUAUGUUGGAAGAAAACAUUUCCUUUAGACCUUUAUUGUUAGCAUCAGGCCACAACAAACAGAAUUCGAGGGGAAAAAAACUCACAUGAGCUGAAAAUGAGAUGAAGGUGAGCAUUACUAUUUUACACCUUUUGAAAGGGGAGAGAAAACCAAAAAUGGUGAGAUGCAAUAAAAGUUGAACUUUGGGUUAAAAAAAUUAAAAUGUCUUACAAUUUAUUAAGAGUAAAUCCAGCAAGGCAUGGUGGCUCGUGCCUGUAAUCCCAGCACUUUGGGAGGCUGAGGCAGGCAGAUCACGAGGUCAGGAGUUCGAGACCAGCCUUGCCAAUAUGGUGAAACCCUGUCUCUACUAAAAAUACAAAAAUAACGUGCCACUGAACUCCAGCCUGAGUGACAGAGCAAGAAUCCAUCUCUGAAAAAAAAAAAGAAAAAGAGUAAAUCAAUCUCCUAAGAAAAUUUUAUUGUUCUAAUCAAUUCUUUAGUGUAUAAGUGUGUUUUUUUUACAUCAAACCCAAUUUCUAGAAAGACCAUUAUAAUUUCCCUUUAAUCAUAUACAACUUGAUCAUAUAAAAGUUUUUUUUUUUUUGAGACAGACUCUCACUCUGUCACCCAGGCUGGCAUGCAGUGGCACAAUCCUGGCUCACUGCAAUCUCCACCUCCCAGGUUCAAGCAAUUCUCCCUACCUCAGCCUUCUGCAUAUCUGGGAUUACAGGCACCUGACACCACACUUGGCUAAUUUUUUUGUAUUUUUUAGUAGAGAUGAGGUUUCACCAUGUUGGCCAGGCUGGUCUUGAACUCCUGACCUCAGGUGAUCCACCUGCCUCGGCCUCCCAAAGUGCUGGGAUUACAAGUGUGAGCCACCGUGCCCGGCUGAAAGUUGUUUUUUUUUUUUUUUAAAUAAAUCCUCUUAUUGUGACUUACACAGAUGACUCAUGACAUGCUUGGACUUUCUGAUUUGUCCUGAACAUCCCUCUUUCUUAAACAACCAGUCAUCUUAUUCGAGAACUAAAUUUACCAUACAAGAUUCUUUCUCAUAUAAAAUUAUUUCUCUUUGAGCUUUCUUAGCAAAAAAUACCUUUUAUUUCUGCAACUUUCUUUACAUCUGCCUCAUUUCCUGGUUUCUUUUAUCUUGUUUUAUAUAUAACCUUAAAAUAAGCUUUGAAUUUGACAAAAAUUGUUCACCUUUUAAAAAGGACACAUUUUGUUUUUUAGAAAAAAUAUUUUCCUAUAAUAUAUUUUCAUUGUAAAAUACCCAAAUAAUGAAAUAUCCAUUAUUUAAUCUAAUGCAACUUUAGAUUCUAAAUUAUGACACGUUUAUCUAUAAGUAUUUAUCCCAUUACAUUUACCUAAUUAUUUUAAUUGUUUACCUAGAUUAUUUAUGAAAACUGUGAUAGUCAUCAUUUAAAGUUAUGAAACUCACCAUUGCAAGAUUAUAACUGACACAGUGAAAAAGAUAUGACCUAACUGACUCCCUCUUGCCUCUAACCUCCAAAUUAUCCUUGUUCAUUCCUGGGCAUAGGCCGAACUAACUGUGGAAGGAACUUAGUUUAGUUUAGCUUUGAAACAAAGAUAACAGUCAUUUCCCAAGAGAAACCUUAUUGCCUGUGGACUAGACUCCCUAAGGCCACAAGAUUAGAAGUUAUGGUAAUUUUACUAAAUAAUUCAAGAUGUAGCUAUUUUCAUUAAACCAAUAUCAAUGUCUUAUUUAUUAAAAAUUAACACAAACAAAGAUCAUUCUGUUUUAGGCUGGGUUUAUACUUUCGUAACCCUAUGCCAAAUUUUGACACCUUAUAGUAUUUGGCAGGGAUAAAUAUGAAAUGACUUGAUCCAUAAAUGCAAACAAAAAUGUAUGCUGGCAAUUCUUAAGACAUUUCUAAUAUUAUUUUGCCAAUAAUUUUAAAGCUAGCUUAUUUAUUACAGAUUUUACUUAAAUCACGUAAACUUGAAAAAGCAUUUGGCUAGUCUUCUUUUUUCUGAUAAAGCAUUUGAUUUCAGCACCUUUAUUUUUCUGUAAGCCAAUUAAUUACAGCUCUUUUGUAUAUUUUUAGUAGUGAAAGGUGUACAUAACACAUAGAUACAUAGAUGUAUUAGGCAUACUGGUAGAAGCACAUCUUAUAGAUUCCUAAGACCUCCUUUUGUUUUCCCCUGUCUUAGACUUGCAAACUCUUGAUAACCUGUUUCAUUAGCCUGGCAGCUGUCAGCUAAAUAGCCCUAAACUUGCAUAUUGAAGGAAACAACUCUUAGAUGAAAAAUCAGAUAGCAAAAUUUACAUCUCAAGGUACAGACAGAAAAAGUCUAGUGGUGCUAAAGGGAGACUAAAGAUGGAUGCCAAAUCAAACAUAAAAUUAUAGAACUCUAUCAUAGGAUUGUAUGAGGAGACCAAUUUUAUUCAGAAAGGGAUUAUUUCUUUUUUACCUAGAUCUCUGAAAUCUGGGCAGAGUCCACACUGAAUCCUGGGUCUCCAAAAAGGGAGAAUUAUUAUGAGGCUAGAUCAUGUAAUGCUUUUUCAGUGCACUUAAAACAAUUUUUUUUAAGCGAAGACAUUUCAAAGUGUCUAAAUUACACUCUUCCUUAAAAACUGAAGAGUAGCCUCUGUUGCAAUACCUAUUUUAGUCAAUAAAUCAGGUAACACAAUACAAAUGCAAGCAGUUUGAGAGCUGAUACAAGUUGUCUGUUUACACUCUUGGAGUUCCAUAAGGAAAAACGAGUUUCUCCCCAAUAGGGAGUCUGGUGCUUUCUCCAUUUUCUUUAAGGAACCCCAGGCUAUUAUAAACUAUUUUAGGCCCCUCAUGCAGCAGAGGGUGCAAGAGAAAGGAGAGACAACAGAAGUAAAUGAAGAAAACAGAAUUCAGCCAACUGAGAAGAAAAAAAUCUUUUGCUCAAAAAAAGAGACGAAGUCCUAGAAGAAAAACAAACAAACCAUGAUGUCC
Long non-coding RNA from Symphalangus syndactylus (siamang), 14524 nucleotides. RefSeq lists it as uncharacterized. The record is from RefSeq and is a predicted model, not a curated record. NCBI's taxonomy places the organism in Eukaryota, Metazoa, Chordata, Mammalia, Primates, Hylobatidae.